GACGAACGCUGGCGGCGUGCUUAACACAUGCAAGUCGAACGGAAAGGCCCUGCUUUUGUGGGGUGGUCGGGUGGCGAACGGGGGAGUAACACGUGAGUAACCUGCCCUUGACUUUGGGAUAACUUCAGGGAACUGGGGCUAAUACCGGAUAGUAGCUCCUGCUGCGUGGGGGGGGUGGGAAAGUUUCGGCGGUUGGGGAUGGACUCGCGGCGUAUGGGCUUGUUGGUGGGGUAGUGGCUUACCAGGGCUUUGACGGGUAGCCGGCCUGAGAGGGUGACCGGCCACAUUGGGACUGCGAGACGGCCCAGACUGCUACGGGAGGCAGCAGUGGGGAAUAUGGCAGAAGGGGCGGAAGCCUGAUGCAGCAACGCCGCGUGCGGGAUGGCGGCCUUCGGGUUGGAAGCCGCUUUCGCCUGUGACGAAGCGGGAGUGACGGUAAUGGGUAAAGAAGCACCGGCUAACUACGUG
RNAcentral lists this ribosomal RNA (468 nucleotides) under uncultured bacterium. RNAcentral's name for it is "partial 16S ribosomal RNA". It matches the Rfam family "Bacterial small subunit ribosomal RNA", at positions 28 to 507 of the family's 1533-position model. The record is from RNAcentral.